Molecule: transfer RNA, 76 nt
Filed under: Gammaproteobacteria bacterium
Lineage: Bacteria; Pseudomonadati; Pseudomonadota; Gammaproteobacteria
Also listed under: 2 other names
Description: tRNA-Met
Rfam family: tRNA
About the family: Transfer RNA (tRNA) molecules are approximately 80 nucleotides in length. Their secondary structure includes four short double-helical elements and three loops (D, anti-codon, and T loops).
Source: RNAcentral
GGUGAUGUAGCUCAACAGGCAGAGCGGGAGACUCAUAAUCUCCAGGCAGUCGGUUCGAGUCCGCCCAUCACCACCA